GCAACUCCCUCACCCACGGACUGCGCGGAGGCAGCCCUCCACGCCGUUCCGUGGCGCCGACCUGGGCUUGAGUUAGUUUUUUUUUGUCUCCUUCAAGGGAGGAAUUGCAGAGCGUCGCAGCUGAAGCCGUCUCAGCUCGCCUCGCGGUCAUUAUUUAGGGGGUUCCGGGGGACCCCAGGCUUACAGGUGCAGUGUGACCAAACCUGAGGGGUGGUUGGCAUUGAAGCCCAGAGGCUUCGACCUCCAGAACAUUCCUGGCCCUAGCAACCAAGAAUUGGUGUGCUUUUGCACCACCUGUUCCUAAAUGGGAAGCGUGGAGAAGAAAACUUUCCAAAUUGCAUGUGAAGUUUGCAGAGCCUCACCUGACCCAUCCCUUAUUUCUUUAUCAACAACUUGGGAUUGUCUCUCAAGAAUGUAAGUGUGUCAGGAACCCUGACACUGUCAUGAAGAGCAACAAGGAAAAACUCGGAGAAUUCAAACUCAGCUGGAAACUGCUGGAGGAGCUGCCAGACACAAUCAAGGAAGAGGAGAAACACCGGGGCCUGAAAAAAAGAGCAUGAAACAUAUCUUGUAUGCACAGUGCAGAGGAAAAGGCGAGAAACUGAAAUCUCUCCAGGAUGCAGACACAAGUACAGGUAUGUUUAUGUGCAAGUUAUAGGGUGGAGGUGGGAGGCCCAAGGAAAAGAUCUCACCAACUUAAUCCAUCACACACAUACCCGAACACACACACACACACACACACACACACUGCCCCAACCAAUUAGAAACUGGAGCCCACCCCAGAUACAUGACCCCUCCUUCCAGUCCAGACACCAGAUCUCCAAAUUAAUAAUUCAUGUUCAGGAUUCUGAGAGCUGAGCACUGGAAACCUCUAUUCAGUUCUACAAUCCCAUUCCUCCUCCCUACCCCCUUGCAACCCAAGAAGCAAAGGUAGGGGAAGGGCAUUGGAAGGAAGUAAAGGAACUGCAGGACUGCAGGUGAGGGGGACUAGGGUAUGAAUAUUUAGAUAUGAAAAAGACAGGAAAUAAAAUACAAAGUAAGAGUUAAUGAGCUGCUGUUUUAUUGAUUUUGAGUCUGUACAGAGGCAGCAAUCCGUAGGUGGGGGCCCAGUGUCACUUUAUUCUCUCCAACCCCCAGCACACACACCCUUCCGGCCUCAGCUUUACAAGUUCCCUGUCUGGCUGCAACUGUGGAAAUUGUGAAAAUACAUAUUGUGAGACAGGGCGUCAAUCUGGAACAAAGAGGGAUACCUGAUUCUUAAGUUCCUAAAAGCUACUAAGCAUCCCCACCCCCACCAUGGGCUUCAAUCUCUGGGGGGAAAAAUACUUCCCAAGGUCUGUUGCAAUAAGGUGUGUACCACAAUUUUAAAAUAUCCACUUUCCUUCUCCCACCACCCUUCAUUCAAGAGCCUCAUUCUAUUCUUUAAUACUUUGAGGUAAGGAACAGCAGAGGAAUACAGAGAAAAACAUCAGGAGAUUGGGGGAAAGUUGGAGGGUGACUUGGAUUAGUCCCCAACCAGGACUGCAAUGAGGGCAGCAGAUGAGGGGUAAUGAACAGCAGAACCACCUCUCACCACCCCACACACUCCCAGUGGAGGCUCAGCGGACGAAAGGAAGGGUGAAACUGUAUCAGAUUUUUCCAUGUUCAGAAUCCUGAUCUGGUUGUAGGUUUGUGCUAUGAGUGAAGGCUGCCAGGGGCAGCUGAAGGAGGAGCUGAGUGACUCAUAGAAUGAGUCACAGAUCCAGUUAUAAACACAGAAAGAGGCCAGUCCUCCCCACCCCCACUUCAGUCAGUUCUGCUGUUAGCCAGCUUCCCUCUCCUAAAGCCCCUUACUCAUCAGGUAGAGUGAGGUGCCAUGGAGUGUGUCUACAUGGAAGACUUCAUAACAAAUUAUUUUGUUCAACGUAAGUUCUUGGGGCAAAACACCCUGUGAUUUGUAGACUGGGCAUCUACAGAGUGAGACAGAAUGCUUGUAUGACUCACUGAAUCUACAGUUAAAAGGGCCUGGAGGGGAAGGGAGACUAGAAGAAUCCAGGGUGCAGAUUAUUCCAGCCCGGGAAGGGGCUUCUCAUUCUGCCUUCUCAGCUGUGGCUAUGUGUCUGGGGCAGACUCUUGGAGAAAGAGGACAGAGUCCAAGGUGUCCAAGUAACUCAAGGACAAUCAUUUCUGAAGCUUCUUUAUUGGGAAAG
Pipistrellus kuhlii (Kuhl's pipistrelle) is the source of this 2189-nucleotide long non-coding RNA. RefSeq lists it as uncharacterized. The record is from RefSeq and is a predicted model, not a curated record. Lineage: Eukaryota; Metazoa; Chordata; Mammalia; Chiroptera; Vespertilionidae. The transcript is spliced from 3 exons.